RNAcentral lists this ribosomal RNA (253 nucleotides) under Dorea longicatena. RNAcentral's name for it is "partial 16S ribosomal RNA". It matches the Rfam family "Bacterial small subunit ribosomal RNA", at positions 524 to 776 of the family's 1533-position model. The record is from RNAcentral. Lineage: Bacteria; Bacillati; Bacillota; Clostridia; Lachnospirales; Lachnospiraceae.
UACGUAGGGGGCAAGCGUUAUCCGGAUUUACUGGGUGUAAAGGGAGCGUAGACGGCACGGCGAGCCAGAUGUGAAAGCCCGGGGCUCAACCCUGGGACUGCAUUUGGAACUGCUGAGCUAGAGUGUCGGAGAGGCAAGUGGAAUUCCUAGUGUAGCGGUGAAAUGCGUAGAUAUUAGGAGGAACACCAGUGGCGAAGGCGGCUUGCUGGACGAUGACUGACGUUGAGGCUCGAAAGCGUGGGGAGCAAACAGG